UCCUACGUUACAUGGAAACGGAAGCGGAAACGCGGAAGCGGAAUCGUAUGGAAGCGUAGAAACGAUUUUUUUCAAAAAACUAGGAAGCGGAUCCGUAUUGGAAGCGUAUAUAUAUAUAUAUAUACAUAUCAUAUAAACCCACAUAAAACAUUUAUUUUUUCCUUUUUUAUUUUUAUUUACGAUUCCAACUAUCAAACUUAAACGCUUCCAAAUAGGAUUCAUCGUUUCCAUCACGCUUCCAUAUCUGUUUUUUUUGGAAACACGAUUCCGGCACGCUUCCGAGCGAUUCCGCACGCUUCCGACUCCGUUUCCGCUUCGGAACCAGGAACCAGUACGUGAGACACGCUUCCAUGCAACGUAGGU
Molecule: long non-coding RNA, 363 nt
Filed under: Brassica rapa (field mustard)
Lineage: Eukaryota; Viridiplantae; Streptophyta; Magnoliopsida; Brassicales; Brassicaceae
Description: long non-coding RNA (BRAP_LNC003519)
Source: RNAcentral